AUCCAGCUGAUGAGUCCUAAAUAGGAUGAAACACGCGUCCUGGAU
RNAcentral lists this non-coding RNA (45 nucleotides) under Schistosoma mansoni. The record is from RNAcentral. Lineage: Eukaryota; Metazoa; Platyhelminthes; Trematoda; Strigeidida; Schistosomatidae.